UUUGAAUUUGCAGUAACAGGUGUGAGCAUUCUAGCAGCAGUUUGAUGAUCAUGUAUGAUAC
RNAcentral lists this microRNA precursor (61 nucleotides) under Castor canadensis (American beaver). RNAcentral's name for it is "miRNA (ENSCCNG00000011655.1)". It matches the Rfam family "Small Cajal body specific RNA 16", at positions 116 to 176 of the family's 187-position model. Rfam says of the family: scaRNAs are a specific class of small nuclear RNAs which localise to the Cajal bodies and guide the modification of RNA polymerase II transcribed spliceosomal RNAs U1, U2, U4, U5 and U12. ACA47 belongs to the H/ACA box class of guide RNAs as it has the predicted hairpin-hinge-hairpin-tail structure, the conserved H/ACA-box motifs and is found associated with GAR1. Lineage: Eukaryota; Metazoa; Chordata; Mammalia; Rodentia; Castoridae. The record is from RNAcentral.